UGUCUCACCUCUCACACCGCCAUCUUUCCAUGUGUACACUCUUAAAUGUCACUUCUCUACAAAGAAGGCUCAUGGAAACACUGCUUUCCCCAUUAACAAAUCCAUUAUACCUAUAAUGAAACUAGUUGUGUUCACUUGUAUUAGCUUCAUAUGCAAAUAAAAAUAUGGGUAGUUAAAUAUACAUUGUCUUAAACAUGUAAAAUAAGGACAGUAAAUAGAUGCAUGGUCCCUUAGGCAGUCUACCAUUUUAGAAGGUUAAUAUAAGAGCUGCCAGAGUAUUCUGAUUAAGGCCAUGGAAAGAGGUUGCAAGCAAAUAACAUCUUGGAAGUAAUUCCUAAGAUUCCUUGGUGAGAUUAAGUAGAUCGUAAUUUACAGAAAGUACACUUUACGCUUUAGUUAAUGAGAUACUGUGGUAUAUUGAAUCAUUGUGCCCAAUGUUUCAUUCCUUUUCUGUGUUUGAAGUAAUCAUCCAUAUCCUUUGCCACGUGAUAUUGCCAUUCCUCCCAGUGUUUCUCCAAAUUGUUAAUAUUGGGCUUGGUCAUUCUGUUGACUUAUUUUGGUCAAUAGAAUGUGAAUAGAAGUGCAAGGGGGCCCCAUCCUGGCCAAGGCCUUAAGAGGCAUCCUAUGUUUCCUCUCACUCUCUUAUGCCUCCACCAUUCAGCAUGAGAACAUGGCUCAGGAAGUCACCAGACAAGGAGAAUUCGAGAUACAUGGAGCAGGCCUGAACCAGACCUACUGCCUGAAGUAGAAGCUACCCUGCUGACUUGCAAACCCAUGAACAAGAAAAUCAGUGUUUACUGUGGAAGAUCCAUUGCUCAAAAUAAGAUGGUUCAAAGACACAUCACCAAGUUUCUUCCUGUGGUUAUGCUACCUACUCUGAAUUCUUUCCUUCUAUCAAGUUGAGUAUCAAAAGCCUAUACUGCCCCAGUCCAUUGCAGAGUUGCUAUCACUAAGUUGGCUUUUAAUAUUAUGCCUCUGGGUUAAAGUUGCUAUGAAGAAAUUACAAUUUUUUACAAAUGUGGUAAUUUUUGAAGACAUUGUUUAAUAAAAUCUACUUUUUGUAAAAUAUCCUUGGGAUCCAAUUUUGGAAUAGCUCUGCUUUGCCUUAGGAUCUGGCAUGCUGGAUAUAAUGAAAAUCAUGUAUCUGAUGAGGUCUUAUUUUUCCCCUUGGCUACUAUGAAGCUCAGAGCUAAAAAUACACACACAUACACACAUGUAUAUGGAUACAUAUGUAAAUAAAUAAAUGUUUAAUGUUCUUUAAUUUCAGUUCCCUAUUUAAUACUAUACCCUUUCUAUAUAAAUGAUACAAUAUGAUCUUUUAAAAAAUUCCUCAAUUAUCUCAUAAAUAAUUCCCUACAGAACUUCCCUCUUCUUUUUGAUGUUUCUCCUUUGCCUACAAGUCAGAUUCUGUCUGGCAGCCAAGGCCACAGUAUAGCCAAACUCACCAAGAGUAUUGACAGUUUUUAAUACUCUGAUUACAAAAUAAGAACUAGAUCAUCAGUGCUGAAUGCAAUUGCUGCAAAAUUCUCUGUGGCUGAAGAAUACCCAGGCUAACUGGUCUCAGAAAUAAUGUGAAUGCAACUAGACUUUUAUGUUGCAAAUAGUUAUGCUUCAAGAUGCAGGACUUGGCAAUGGCAGUUUCCUGCAGGAACAAGGAAGGUUAAGAGAAAGAACUAACCUUUUGAAGGGCCCACCUGGUGCUAGGGUACUGUUAGCUUUUUGCUAUUUCCAGUGGUACACUGGAGCUGGCUCUUAUGCACUCAUGAGAGCCAAAUGUUACAAUUUCAUGAGUUUUGUGAGCCAUGUUGCUAGCUUAAAAUAGACCAUCAUGGGAGUAUUUAUACCUGCAAAUUGCCAAAUGCCCACAGAUCAGCCCCUCCAUCCCUAGAGAGCUAGCUGGUUGUUAGACACCACCACUGCUUAUCUGGCUUAUUGCUCACAACUAGCAAUAAGAUAGGUCUUUCAGUCCUCAUUCUAUAAAUGAGGAAACAGACCCCCAAAAAAGGGGAAAUUGUCAAGCUUUAGUGAGAAAUUACAGAGGAGACCAAAAAGAAAAUGAAACAGAAAGAAAACUACCAAAGCACGAAUAGGUAUAGGUACAGUGCUGACCCUAAGGGGCUAUACUCAGAGAAGAAAGAUCCUAUUCAGAGGAAGUCAACAAGCUAAUCUAAGGAGAUUGCCAGACUGAGGUUCAGAAGACUGUGAGGAGAACAAUUCAAUGAGGGACUAAGGGACCAAACAGAAAGUCUUCUAGGGGAAGCUGAAGGU
Molecule: long non-coding RNA, 2268 nt
Organism: Manis pentadactyla (Chinese pangolin)
Lineage: Eukaryota; Metazoa; Chordata; Mammalia; Pholidota; Manidae
Exons: 3
Source: RefSeq, a predicted model, not a curated record